GCCUGUUCGAGCGUCAUUUAUACCAAUCUAGCCUAGCUAGGUGUUGGGCUUCGCCGUCUGGCGGGCCUUAAAACUAGUGGCGGUGCUCUUAAGCUCUACGCGUAGUAAUUUUCUCGCUAUAGGGUCUUGGGAGAUGCUUGCCAGCAACCCCAAUUUUUUAGGUUGACCUCGGAUCAGGUAGGGAUACCCGCUGAACUUAA
RNAcentral lists this unclassified non-coding RNA (200 nucleotides) under soil metagenome. Its description in RNAcentral is "partial contains internal transcribed spacer 2 and large subunit ribosomal RNA". The record is from RNAcentral.